RNAcentral lists this ribosomal RNA (463 nucleotides) under uncultured bacterium. Its description in RNAcentral is "partial 16S ribosomal RNA". It matches the Rfam family "Bacterial small subunit ribosomal RNA", at positions 28 to 506 of the family's 1533-position model. The record is from RNAcentral.
GACGAACGCUGGCGGCGUGCUUAACACAUGCAAGUCGAACGGUAAGGCCCUUUCGGGGGUACACGAGUGGCGAACGGGUGAGUAACACGUGGGUGAUCUGCCCUGCACUUUGGGAUAAGCCUGGGAAACUGGGUCUAAUACCGGAUAGGACUACGCGAUGCAUGUCGUGUGGUGGAAAGCUUUUGCGGUGUGGGAUGGGCCCGCGGCCUAUCAGCUUGUUGGUGGGGUGAUGGCCUACCAAGGCGACGACGGGUAGCCGGCCUGAGAGGGUGUCCGGCCACACGGGGACUGAGAUACGGCCCAGAUCCCUAGGGGGGGCAACAGUGGGGAAUAUUGCACAAGGGGGGAAAGCCUGAUGCAGCGACGCCGCGGGGGGGAUGACGGCCUUGGGGUUGUAAACCCCUUUCAGCACAGACGAAGCGUAAGUGACGGUAUGGGCAGAAGAAGCACCGGCCAACUACGU